RNAcentral lists this long non-coding RNA (218 nucleotides) under Elaeis guineensis (African oil palm). RNAcentral describes it as "long non-coding RNA (EGUI_LNC027598)". Lineage: Eukaryota; Viridiplantae; Streptophyta; Magnoliopsida; Arecales; Arecaceae. The record is from RNAcentral.
UCCCUUCAACACCAACUUGAUGGAUUCGAGGGUCAACCUCAUUGCUACAAAAUUAAGAAAAGAUGGUCAGUACAAAAUCCAACAACAAGACAAAAUUCUCUAGGUCAAAAUAGAAGUUGACCAUUCACUGAGGUGAUGUUGAACUAAUGCCGAUGUCAUAAAGAGUCUGCUUAAUCACUAGUUCUUUUUAGCUUUGAUACUUUGACAUCGGGUAGAGU